UACGGAGGGUGCGAGCGUUGUCCGGAAUCACUGGGCGUAAAGGGCGCGUAGGCGGCCUGAUAAGUAGGGGGUGAAAUCCUGCGGCUUAACCGCAGGGCUGCCUUCUAAACUGUCAGGCUUGAGCACGGAAGAGGCGAGUGGAAUUCCUGGUGUAGCGGUGGAAUGCGCAGAUAUCAGGAGGAACACCAAUAGCGAAGGCAGCUCGCUGGGACGUUACUGACACUGAGGCGCGAAAGCGUGGGGAGCGAACAGG
Molecule: ribosomal RNA, 253 nt
Filed under: uncultured bacterium
Lineage: Bacteria
Description: partial 16S ribosomal RNA
Rfam family: Bacterial small subunit ribosomal RNA
Source: RNAcentral